GGGGUUAGUGGAACAUUCUAGCUGACGUAGGAAGGGUGAGAUAGCAGUGCUGAAGACAGGCAAGGGCAGGAGAUUUCCAUUGGGCAAUCAAAAGCCGAAAAAACAAUACUAGAAGCCACGCAGACAGAUGAGUUUAUAGAAAGAGGAAGUGAGUAUGGGAGAGCAAAGAGCAAAGAAGCAUGGGAAGUGAGGAAAGGGGGGAACGACAGCGAAGGAACAACUGGCCGUGGACCUUGAGGAAGCGCCACUUCCAGGCUUUGGCGUUUUAGUCUGGGCGUUGGUAGAACAGGGGCUGCAGGAAGCGCGCUCUAUUAAGGCUCUCGGCUGGGACGCGCAUGCAUAAUCAGAGAAGAUGGAAGAGAACAGAACACCAUGGAAACUGAAGAAGAGAGUUUCUAAAAGAAGGCUUUAAGAGGUCACUUGCAUCCAAUGCCACAGAGGUGUCAGAGACUGCGGACUCAGAUGAAACCACUGAUUUAGCAAUUUAAAGAGCCCCUCCAAGUGCAGGAUUGUCUUUAGCCUUGGACACCAUACAUGAACAAGGACAAUAGCAGUCUGGAGCAUGUGCAAAAGAGAGGGAUCAGGAGCGUGGGAAGACUUAAGAGUCAUUGUGUAUGAACUACUGGAGCUGCUUAACCUGGAGAAGAGACCAACAGGUUGAUGGUGGUGGUGCAGGAUCCAGUUUGCAACCACAGGAACCGUGCAGCCCUAGUGUGUGGGCUGACAGCCACCUGCAUGGGACCAUGAGAUUCUGGACAGAACUGAGUGAGAGCGUCGCCAUGGUGUCUGAGGCAAUGCAGGACAAUGGAGCAGGGGCAGAACCAGGAAAUCCGGAGCCUACCAGACCAUGGAGACACCAGGGGUGAUGCCCUACGCGUUCCAUACCCAGUAUCCCAGGUGCCACAGACUCUGCUUUUUUCAUGGAAUAUCAUUUUUCCAGUCUGAACCCAAAAAAGGCGUCUUGCUAUCCCAUAUAGCAUUAAUGGUAAGUCAAGCGGAGGUUGCCAUUUUGUGCAUGCAAUCGCACCCGGAAGUGAAAUGCAGCACCAGGUUCUCUGGGAUUGGAACUGACAAAGCAAUAUAGUUGAGAGCAAAUUAAAACGAGGUCCUGUCCCCCAGCUGGCAAAGGAGCACGCCAUGCCUAACUUCUGCUUUAGCACGCAGGCCUACAGACCUGUCAAAGAACCUAGAGCCCCACUGGAACUCUGAGGAUACAAAGCCUCCAGGCAAGGAGUUGACUUCUUCAUGCCACUGCAGGGACAUGGGGUCUGGGAGAGCAUGUGAAGGGAGCAAGGCCCCGUAUGCUUAGUCAGCCUCUCUGCGGCACUGCGCUUGGUAACCCCAAGACCUUGGUCAUAGAUGGGCGCUGGUGGUCACCAAGGAAGGUACAGGGGUGAGGGGCAGCCUAAGUCACCAAAAUAAGUAUGUGCCAGGCACAGUAUGUAGGGGGAAGAGUAAAUGGGUGUGUAUGAGCAGGUGUUUAGGUAAUGAGUGUGUGCAUGGCAGCGUGCAUGUGUAUGGCGGUACGUGCAUAGAGAGAGCAGAGGAGCGUGUGUGUGUCUGUGGGGUAUGGAAGUGUUGGGGGAUGCAAGAGUGUGGCUGGGGUGGGUAGAGGUGUGUGUGCGUGCAUGGAUCUAGCUGCAGCUCUAGGUACAUGAAUGUGUGUAUAUUUGUGGAGCGAGAUGAGGGGAUAAGUACACAUGUACGUACUGGGUGUACACAUGCAAGGUAUGUGCGGGCAGAGCUGUAUAUGCGUGCGCACGUGUGUGUGUGUAGGGGUCUAUGGGUAAGCAUAUAUAUGGGGGAAUAUAUAAGUGUAGCACGUGGGAUGUGUGUAGACAUGGAAGCAGGGAUAUGGAGAUGCGUGUGUGUGUGUGUGUGUGUGAUGUCAGGGGUGC
Microcebus murinus (gray mouse lemur) is the source of this 1898-nucleotide non-coding RNA. The record is from RefSeq and is a predicted model, not a curated record. Lineage: Eukaryota; Metazoa; Chordata; Mammalia; Primates; Cheirogaleidae.